This is a long non-coding RNA of Magnolia sinica, 609 nucleotides long. RefSeq lists it as uncharacterized. Lineage: Eukaryota; Viridiplantae; Streptophyta; Magnoliopsida; Magnoliales; Magnoliaceae. The transcript has 2 exons. The record is from RefSeq and is a predicted model, not a curated record.
GUCACAAUUCUCGUACCAAGGAAUUUUCUACAACCAGUCCAUCCACAACUGGACAACAAAUCAUUGAUCUGCAUUAUCGAAUAAUGGGCUCACUUCACAAUUUCUCACAUGAUGCAUGUACUUGGUUGACCAAGAGGAUGUCAUUGCAACUGGAGGGGGCUGACCUGAUUCUGUUCUUUGUUAUUGGACACAUCUGGACAGAUACUUGUGUUUACUAACUGAUAUUGGAGGGUCUUGUGAGGUUGCCAGAAAAUAGGGUGUGUGCUGAUUGUAGAAACAAGUAUGUAAAUCAGUCGACAUUCCUGUUUGGAUGGUUAAAGCAAAUUUCAAUAUUAGUUGUUAUUUCAUGUUUUGUAACAUUUUUAAUUUUCUGAUUCCAAAAGAUGUGCAUAUAUUAGUUUUCUUGUUAAAAUCUAGAGCAUGCCUUCUUACUAGAUGCCAAUUUUGACUUGCAACGUAUCUCUUGGUUGUGAUGGACAUCCAUUAUUUGUUUUGUAGCGGCAGGAGAUUUUUUUGGCUUCUGGAUGUUUGCAUCCUUGUGUGUUUCAACACCUGUUUUUCAACAUGAGCUGGAUAGAGAGGAGAGGCCUAGCCAAUUAGAGCUAACCG